CAAUAGCGUAUAUUAAAGUUGUUGCAGUUAAAAAGCUCGUAGUUGAAUUUCUGUACAUUCCCGGUGCCGGCUCUUGUCGAACCGUGGAGUGUGCAUCCGCUUACAAACUUAGCCCGGUCUUCAUUGGUCGACUAAGGGAGUAGGCCCUUUACUUUGAAAAAAUUAGAGUGUUUCAAGCAGGCAAUGGCUCGAAUACAUUAGCAUGGAAUAAUGGAAUAGGACUGAGGUCCAUUUGGUUGGUUAUUGGACUUUGGUAAUGAUUAACAGGGACAGUUGGGGGCAUUAGUACUUAACAGUCAGAGGUGAAAUUCUUGGAUUUGUUAAAGACUAACUUAUGCGAAAGCAUUUGCCAAGGAUGUUUUCAUUAA
RNAcentral lists this ribosomal RNA (368 nucleotides) under uncultured eukaryote. RNAcentral's name for it is "partial 18S ribosomal RNA". It matches the Rfam family "Eukaryotic small subunit ribosomal RNA", at positions 592 to 976 of the family's 1831-position model. The record is from RNAcentral.